RNAcentral lists this ribosomal RNA (228 nucleotides) under uncultured archaeon. RNAcentral describes it as "partial 16S ribosomal RNA". It matches the Rfam family "Archaeal small subunit ribosomal RNA", at positions 23 to 246 of the family's 1478-position model. The record is from RNAcentral.
GCCACUGCUAUUGGGGUUCGGCUAAGCCAUGCGAGUGGAGGGCGUCCCGCAAGGGAUGGCCCCGCAGACGGCUCAGUAACACGUCGUCAACCCACCUUAGGGUGGGGGACAACCUCGGGAAACUGAGGAUAAUCCCCCAUAGGCGGGGGAGGCUGGAAUGCGCCCCCGCUGAAAGUUCAGGCGCCCUAGGACGGGACGGCGGCCUAUCAGGUAGUUGGUGGUGUGACG